AUCCAGCCGGUGAGUCCCAACUAGGACGAAACGCUUGUCCUAGAU
Molecule: non-coding RNA, 45 nt
Organism: Schistosoma margrebowiei
Lineage: Eukaryota; Metazoa; Platyhelminthes; Trematoda; Strigeidida; Schistosomatidae
Source: Rfam